AAGAAACCAGCGGGGCAGGAUCCACAGACGCGUUGUCCUUUUUGGUUGGCGGAAUCCAGGGCCCAAUUGGUUAUUCUAGAGGAAAGAUUUAUGAUGGAUUUAUGACACCGUCAAUGAAUUGUUGCUAGGUGACUUUAGGCUGCGUGCACAAGAAUGCAUGUGCAAUGCCCGACAAUAAAAAGAAGCCACGUCCACAUUUGAGGGUGAUGAAAAGGAAACGCCGUGACAGUUUAGCACCAAUCUGAGACCAUUGCCCACAACAAGUCUGGGCCGAGAGUCUCAAACAGUUGGAUUAGAUCGGUGGGAGAGACAAGAGGAGGGUGCGCUGUCCACGCACGUGGGGGCCCUUGGAAUAAGUGCUGCAGUCGAUGAUGAAGAAGAAGAAGAGGAACGUUGAGGUGUUCAGUUUGCCAGAAAGUUUGUGGGAAGUGGACCUGAAGAAAUUCCACAUUGUAAGUAAAUAAGCUAUAUGCCCGUGUGUGUGUGUAUGUGUGUGUGUGUGUGUGUGUGUGUGUGUGUGUGUGUGUGCGUGCGUGCGUAUACACGCAUAUUUGCUAUUAAUUAUUUUUAAAACAAAUACCUAUGCAUAAUAGUAUUAGUAUUUUGUGCGUUGGGUGCACUGUGUUGUUCACAUUAUUCUUUAAGAUAUUUAAUGUUUCACUAUAGUCAACAUCGUGUUACGCACUACUGUAUUUGCAAAAUAACAAUAUCCCUCAUAGCUUUAUACACCACCACCACAACAACAUGACAGAUAUAUUAUAUUUGUAUUUUAAAUAUAGCACAGUUAUUUUAAAAAGUUCACUGUGUCUGAAAAAUCCAACGAGGCCAGACGUUUUGUUACAAUAGAUACUGUAAGCGAUGUUUGUAAUACCUUUAAUCAUAUGAAUUUUGUCUGAGGAGUGGCAUUCUUCAUCUGGCAAGCAGCUUGGUUUGCUAACUGUCUGGUGCAGGACUGAAUUAAGUUUUACAAUGUGGUAAUCCCUGUUGAAAAUGUCUGUGUAUGUUUGCUUUUGUCCAAAAAGAACUUCAGUUUGAAAAUCAGUCAGCUGUAGCGCUCAAUGUUCGUGGUCCAAAACAGCAGGUUAAUCCAGCAACAGUUUGAUUCUUUGAAACUGCAUGGGCAUUAUACAUCUUCCACGUCGGUUAUUAUCGACUGCUACGUCGGUCAUGGAGCUUUAAAGUAGUUUCAAGAAAUAGCAUUUCAUAAAUUUACAUUUGUUGUUUUCUUUUAUCUUUCUGUUCAGUGAUUGUCUGCUGCCAGCCCAUAAAGUAUAGGGAAUCAUUAUUUUAAGUGCUGUUUGCGAAAGGAGGGUGAGCAAAUUUGCCACGUCAGUUACAGUUUUCUUAAAUCAGUUAUCAAAUCCCAAAUUUGGUUUCCUUCAUGUUUCAGACUUCAGACACUGCUUACGACCAUUUUGUCAGUAAUAAAAGCAGUUUUAAAUUUGAUGUCGACCAACAUAUACUUUUUAACGACUCUUAAUUACAUAUUAAAUGUAUUUUUCUAAAUAACGUAUUAGUGUUUGUAUAUUGAACGUGUUUCUGAAUGUCGUAGUGUUUGCACCAGGUCAAACCUAAUUUUACUUCCUAAUAUCUAUUUGUUUUUGUACGUACGAAAUUAUAGGGAUAACAAAUCCAGAUUCUUGAUAGUACAAGUAUUAGGACGAUCAGAAAAACAGAUAUUCGAAACAGACACGGAUAUUCUAAACAGACAUUGGUAUUCUAAACAGACACAUAUAUUCUAAACAGACGCUGAUAUUACAUUUAAUAUGUAAUACUAGUCGUUGUAAAAUUUAUUAGUUGAAAACAUCUUACAAUACAGUAAAUCUGAACGACCAAACCAUAACCAAGACGUAUCUCUGCAGACAAUGCAGAGUCAAAUGACCAUUUGGCAAAACUAGUGAUCGAUUCCACGAAUUUACGAUAGUCCCGUUAACAUUACUUCAGUCUCAACAGAAGUCGGGGAUUUUUUUCGGAAUUCAACGUGAGUUACUCUGAAAUUGCCCUGUAUCAGUUGAAAUGUUUUGUUUCUUUAGGAAUUCCACGUGGGUUACUCUGGAAUUACCCUGUAUCAGUUGAAAUGUUUUUUUCUUUCUUCGGAAUUCCACGUGGGUUACUCUAGAAUUGCCCUGUAUCAGUUGAAAUGUUUUUUCUUUCUUUGGAAUUCCACGUGUGUUACUCUGGAAUUGCCCUGUAUCAGUUGAAAUGUUGUUUUUAGGAAUUCCACGUGUGUUAUACUGGGAUUGACCUGUAUCAGUUGGAUUGUUUUACGGAAUUCCACGUGGAUUACACUAGAAUUGACCUAUUUCAGUUAAAAUGAUUUUCGGAAUUCCACAUGGGUUACUCUGGAAUUGCCCUGUAUCAGUUGAAAUGUUUUUUGUUUUUUUUAAAUUCCAUUUGGGUUACCUUAGAAUUGAUCUGUAUCAGUUGGACUGGGUUUUUUCGGAAUGUCACGUGGAUUGCACUAGAAUUGCCCUGUAUCAGUUCGAAUGGUUUUUUUCCUGAAUCCCGCGUGGGUUACACUGGAAUUGCCCUGUAUAAGUUGACAAGCCACCUGGAAGGCUGGGACGGUUUGUUGACAGUCUAACUGUCCACAGUUCAUUAUACACCUGACACGUGCCCCGUCACUUAGACGACAGCGCAUCUUCUACAAUUAGAGCCACGAUAAAUGGGCUGUGUUUCUGCACGACAGCGCAUGCUCUACAGUUAGAGCCACCAUAAAUGGGUUGUGUGUCUAUACGACAGUGCAUGCUCUACAACUAGAGCCACGAUAAAUGGGUUGUGUGUCUGUACCACAAUGCAUGCUUUACAGUUAGAGCCACGAUAAAUGGGCUGUGUGUCUGUACGGCAGCGCAUGAUCUACAGUUAGAGCCACAAUGAAUGGACUAUAUAUCUGUUGUACACGUUAUUUUCUUUUAGACCGAACCUCUCCAAAUUAAGCGUCCAAUCUCCUUAAGAAACGUUAUGUGCAAAACGACUCAUAUUUGGCUAUAAUUCCUAAGAAAAACAUUGCAAAUUCUGUACCACGAAACACCACCCUCACACACUUACGACCCUGGUCGAGCUGCCUGUGAUACAUUGCACUUGUCAGUGUGUGUGAUCCCGCCUUCUCCCUCCCCCAACUCUUUACUGUCCUGGACCGAAGAGCUGGCUCUAGUCAGAACCUGCGCCCAUGACAGGCGUACGCUAUAACAUCUUGCUUUGAAUGUGCACGUUAAACAACUUGAACUUGAACUUUCUGUCCACAUUGAUCUCGUCAUAGUUCACGGUAUGUGCUAACCUAUCAAAAUAACAUACUGAAGACCAUUUAUGUUUAUAGCUGAACACCACUGGAACUAAUAAACAAUCCAAGAUGAACUGGAGAAAGACAUGUGGCGAUUGUUAUUGAAAUAUAGCAGGAAAAGUCGUUAAUCCAGUUCUACGUGCGGCACCUGUAAUGAACACAACAUUUAAAUGUUAAUGUAAACGACACAAAUGUCAAAUCCCAAAGCUGGUAUACGACGUUGCCCAAGAGAUGUCGUCACAGCGUCAGUCGUAAAUUAGUAAUGACAGCGUGUAUUUGCAUAAGAAGCGCGAGUGGAAACAACGCCAACGCGCUACUGUCGGGAGUAUUAUCAGGACGUCAACAGAAAUGUCUUUUUAAUGUAAAACGUUUGUUUUCUACUGAAAGCCUUCAUCAUUCUUGGAAAGAUAUAACCUAGAGAAAUGUACAGAAAACUUCUAAAGCAACCCCCAACACCAACCCCCCUCCCCCGUAAAACUUAGUAUUAAAAACUUCAAUUCGAAUUCAUCAGGUUUAUAGCACAAUUCUGAAACUUUUAUAAAACUGAUGAUGUUCUUCCAAUUGUUGUUAUUUUUUAACUCUGGCAAUCAUUUUAGCCAAAUUAGCAAGACAAGUGCUUAGUCAACUGACACAGUAGUGUUCAUCAGUUUACCAUCUAUUUGUCCGAUCUUUAUAUUUCAUUUGUCCUUGCCACUUCGUUGAGUCUCACAUGUUUUUUGCUCUGUGUACGUUUCUCUCGACUUCUAAUUUGAACGUACUUUUGAGACUUCAAAUAUAUAUCCAGCUGUUGAAAUCUGCAAAAACACCGAGUCAGUGAUGAUGACCUUACCAAAUCGACCACAAUGCAUGUCCGUUACAAACUGGCUCGUAACUACGUGUUGGGAGCGUCAUUCACAAAACACAUCUUUUCGUGGAAUACUUUUUCUAACCUUCAUUAACUACAAACGCACGUGUGUAGAAAUGCGAACACGACGUCCUUUCUUUGCCGAGACGGGACUGGCUGCUCAUUCAUCACCGUGCUACCACCAGCACAGGUCAAGGUGCCAUUCAGCCCUUAAAAAAAACCAGAGAGAAAAAAGUCUAUGUUGAGAGCUUAGCGAUGCGUGCAAACGAGUGAGUGGGACGUAUGACCAUGUGAAACGGAAGAGACAGCAACCGUGUUCGUAAAACAGGAGUGCUCGUGGUUAGAAGGUGGUUAGAAGGUGCUUGUCGAAACAGUGCUAGAAUUCCUGUCUGGAUUUCUUCAUCAGUCUGGCGUUUAAUUUGAUUGUUCUAAAAUAGCAGACGACCAGCCUCGUGUCCGAUUCGAUCGACUGGCGUCAAUGGCGGAUGAUUCGAUAUUACAGGAUCAUGUUGGGAAGCCGAGGAAUAUUUUAACAUCAAGGCAUAACAGUCGGGUGUUGCAGUCACAACAUGUGUAGUGAGGUGUUCCAGUCAGAACACAUGUAUUGAGAUGUUCCAGUCACAACACGUGUAUUGAAAUGUUCCAGUCAGAACACGUGUAUUGUUGCAGUCUGAACACGUGUAUUGAGAUGUUCCAGUCAGAACACGUGUAUUGAAAUGUUCCAGUCAGAACACGUGUAUUGAAAUGUUCCAGUCACAACACGUGUAUUGAGAUGUUACAGUCACAACACGUGUAUUGUUGCAGUCUGAACACGUGUAUUGAGAUGUUCCAGUCACAACACGUGUAUUGAAAUGUUCCAGUCACAACACGUGUAUUGAGAUGUCACAGUCACAACACGUGUAUUGUUGCAGUAAGAACACGUGUAUUGAGAUGUUCCAGUCACAACACGUGUAUUGUUGCAGUAAGAACACAUGUAUUGAGAUGUUCCAGUCACAACACGUGUAUUGAAAUGUUCCAGUCAGAACACGUGUAUUGUUGCAGUCUGAACACGUGUAUUGAGAUGUUCCAGUCAGAACACGUGUAUUGGUAUGUUCCAGUUAGAACACGUGUAUUGAGAUGUUCCAGUCAGAACACGUGUACUAAGAUGUUCCAAUCACAACACGUCUAUUGUUCCAGUCACAACACGUGUAUUGUUCCAGUCACAACAUGUGUAUUGAGGUGUUCCAAUCAGAACACGUGUAUUAUUCCAGUCACAACAUAUAUAUUGAGGUGUUCCAAUCAGAACACGUGUAUUGUUCAGUCAGAACACGUGAUUUGAGGUGUUUCAGUCAGAAGACGUGUCAGAGGUAACCGAGCCAGAACACGCAAUAGGAUGCUGUACUACAAAGGACCCACACACAGAAACUUAAUUAUGACUAAAGCAAUAUAUGUUUAUGUUUUCCGUGAUGUAACCUGUCAUACCACCUUCCUUCUUUAACUGAUCACCGGCAUGCAUGUAUGUAAAUAUCGAAAUAGUUCAGAGUUUUAUCUUUAUGUAUGUCACUGCCUAUCGUGAAAUAUUGUUACCAGAUGUUAGGCGGGGCGGGUGCUUAUGGGAGUAGAGAAAAUAGCUCUCAGCUUAAGAACAUUGUUUUUUCCAUACUCCCGAAAAAUCGUUAAUUUUAUUUAAACCCAAAUGCUAUACGAUUACAAAACUACCCACUUUGGGUGGACUGUGAUUUGGCGACCUCAACACUGUCUUCAAUCUUCUACAGAAUGAUGUUUUAAGUUUGUUUAUAUAUAUAUAUAUACACACACACACACACA
RNAcentral lists this long non-coding RNA (5930 nucleotides) under Gigantopelta aegis. Its description in RNAcentral is "uncharacterized LOC121384287". Lineage: Eukaryota; Metazoa; Mollusca; Gastropoda; Neomphalida; Peltospiridae. The record is from RNAcentral.